This 464-nucleotide ribosomal RNA is filed under the name Kryptoperidinium foliaceum. RNAcentral's name for it is "partial Bacterial large subunit ribosomal RNA". It matches the Rfam family "Bacterial large subunit ribosomal RNA", at positions 1 to 521 of the family's 2925-position model. Lineage: Eukaryota; Dinophyceae; Peridiniales; Kryptoperidiniaceae. The record is from RNAcentral.
CGACUAAGCGCAUACGGUGGAUGCCUUGGCAGUCAGAGGCGAUGAAAGACGUGGAAGCCUGCGAUAAGGCUCGGGGAGCUGGCAAACAAGCUGUGAUCCGGGCAUUUCUGAAUGGGGAAACCCACCGACUUUCGGGUCGGUAUCUUGCACUGAAUACAUAGGUGUAAGAGGCGAACCGGGGGAACUGAAACAUCUAAGUACCCCGAGGAAAAGAAAUCAACCGAGAUUCCCUAAGUAGCGGCGAGCGAACGGGGACUAGCCCUUAAGCUAGACAACUGGUAGGAGAAGGCUCUGGAAAGUGCCGCCAUAGUGGGUGAUAGCCCCGUAUCCGAAACCUGAGUCCAGUGAAAUCGAGUAGGACGGGACACGAGACAUCCUGUCUGAACAUGGGGGGACCACCCUCCAAGCCUAAAUACUCGUAUGUGACCGAUAGCGAACCAGUACCGUGAGGGAAAGGUGAAAAG